CACCGCCCGUCAAGCCACCCGAGUUGGCCGCACCCGAAGUAGUAGUUCUAUCCGCUUUCCGCAAGGAGAGUGGGGGACGCUCCUAAGGUGAUGCCGGUGAGGGGGACU
RNAcentral lists this ribosomal RNA (108 nucleotides) under uncultured bacterium. RNAcentral's name for it is "partial 16S ribosomal RNA". The record is from RNAcentral.